UUUCCGUAGGUGAACCUGCGGAAGGAUCAUUACUGUGCCUUCGGGGGCAAGCUUUCCCUCUGGACAGCUGGAACGGCGCCUUGGCGGCCCGUUCGGGCUGGCGGCGGCGGGUUGGGGAGCCCAGUGGGCUUCCGAGCCGGCACGUCGAUCGAGCUUGCCCUGUCUGAACACCCCCCUUGCUUUUUGCGUACCCCCCGUUUCCUCGGCAGGCUUGCCUGUCCGCAGGACCUUUUUAAACCCGUUGCACUGUCGUCUGCGUCGGAUUUGUAUCAAUGGUUACAACUUUCAACAACGGAUCUCUUGGUUCUG
This 309-nucleotide unclassified non-coding RNA is filed under the name root metagenome. RNAcentral's name for it is "partial contains small subunit ribosomal RNA, internal transcribed spacer 1, and 5.8S ribosomal RNA". The record is from RNAcentral.